AGUGAACGCUGGCGGUAGGCCUAACACAUGCAAGUCGAACGGCAGCACAGUAAGAGCUUGCUCUUACGGGUGGCGAGUGGCGGACGGGUGAGGAAUACAUCGGAAUCUACUUUUUCGUGGGGGAUAACGUAGGGAAACUUACGCUAAUACCGCAUACGACCUACGUGUGAAAGCAGGGGAUCUUCGGACCUUGCGCGAUUGAAUGAGCCGAUGUCGGAUUAGCUAGUUGGCGGGGUAAAGGCCCACCAAGGCGACGAUCCGUAGCUGGUCUGAGAGGACGAUAAGCCACACUGGAACUGAGACACGGUCCAGACUACUACGGGAGGCGCCAGUGGGGAAUAUUGGACAAUGGGCGCAAGCCUGAUCCAGCCAUACCGAGUGGGUGAAGAAGGCCUUCGGGUUGUAAAGCCCUUUUGUUGGGAAAGAAAAGCAGCAGGUUAAUACCCCGCUGUUCUGACGGUACCCAAAGAAUAAGCACCGGCUAACUUCGUG
RNAcentral lists this ribosomal RNA (492 nucleotides) under uncultured bacterium. RNAcentral describes it as "partial 16S ribosomal RNA". It matches the Rfam family "Bacterial small subunit ribosomal RNA", at positions 29 to 507 of the family's 1533-position model. The record is from RNAcentral.